UGCAAAAGUUUCCUCGCGCUAGACGAAAAUUGACCAUCGAGUGCAAAAGUAAAGAGAAGCUUGAUUGCAAGACUCACCUAUCAAGCAGGGACAAAAGUCGGCCUUAAC
Molecule: ribosomal RNA, 108 nt
Filed under: Olea europaea subsp. europaea
Lineage: Eukaryota; Viridiplantae; Streptophyta; Magnoliopsida; Lamiales; Oleaceae
Description: PK-G12rRNA
Source: RNAcentral